GCUCCUGUCGUUCAAAGGAUAGGACGGCGGUCUACGGAACCGCUGAUGGAGGUUCGAAUCCUCCCGGGAGUACCA
This 75-nucleotide transfer RNA is filed under the name Bacteroidales bacterium. RNAcentral describes it as "tRNA-Arg". It matches the Rfam family "tRNA". From Rfam's summary of the family: Transfer RNA (tRNA) molecules are approximately 80 nucleotides in length. Their secondary structure includes four short double-helical elements and three loops (D, anti-codon, and T loops). The record is from RNAcentral. Lineage: Bacteria; Pseudomonadati; Bacteroidota; Bacteroidia; Bacteroidales.